This 393-nucleotide unclassified non-coding RNA is filed under the name Hevea brasiliensis (rubber tree). The record is from RNAcentral. Lineage: Eukaryota; Viridiplantae; Streptophyta; Magnoliopsida; Malpighiales; Euphorbiaceae.
GUGGUAAACCUUUGUCUUGCACUUGACCUUUGGAGCCUCAUGAGGAUAAAUAGAAGAAAUGCUGAAAGAGAAGACAAAAGUUCCACCCACAUAAUAUCCUUCAUCAGGCCGAAUGGUGACUUCAAAGUUCAUGAGGUCAUCUUUUCCGUUAGGGAAUGAUAUGCUACACGUUUCAGGUAGAUUUAGUUCACUGAUAUCUUUAUGAAGACGCAGCUCUCCUGCACUUUGUUUCUUAAUUGGUGGCUUUCCAUUUGCAUUUUCAGCAAGCUCUCUCUGUUUCUCCUUCACUUUAAACAACUUAAUCAUGGUUCCCAAAAUUAUGUGAACCUCCUCCUGCUGCUGCUGAAAUGAGAAUCUGCAAAAAGAAGAUUGAAGAAUAGUGAUGGAGUCUCU